CGUCUAGGCGGGAAAUUAAGUUGGGUGUGAAAUCCAUUGGCUUAACCGGUGAAUUGCACCCAAAACUGAUUUUCUUGAGUUCGGGAGAGGAGAGCGGAAUUCUUGGUGUAGCGGUGAAAUGCGUAGAUAUCAAGAAGAACACCAGUGGCGAAGGCGGCUCUCUGGCCUAGAACUGACGCUAAAGCGCGAAAGCGUGGGGAGCGAACG
Molecule: ribosomal RNA, 207 nt
Filed under: uncultured bacterium
Lineage: Bacteria
Description: partial 16S ribosomal RNA
Rfam family: Bacterial small subunit ribosomal RNA
Source: RNAcentral